AUGGGCAAACUCUAUCCAACAUGGCGAGAUAUGAGAGAAUAACUAUUUAUCCUUUGUAUCUGUGCAUCUCGUUCGGGGGUCUGCAGUAUUGAAAAUAUGUGUUGGGUCAACAUCACGAAUUGGUUUAUAUUUUUUUAACGGAUAAUUCUCGUGAAAGCGCCUGCUUUAUAGUUCUCCUACUUGGUUGAUCAUGUCUGUUAUUGAGUUAAUGUUCUGGUAUAUGUUUGUGUACUUAGCGUGAUGUCCCUCAGUUCUGUUCUAUUUGUUUGAUAAAGCCUGAUGUGUUUUAUUGUGGCGAGUUUAUUUCUAUAAUUUUUAUUUUUCUGUUGCUUUAUAUAAAAUCUUGGAACCUAUUGUUGGCAUUGACUGAUUUACUGUGAUGUUAAUUUGUCAAAUGUCUCCCCCUUUUCACUAUUUUUUUUAUCUCUUGUAUUGUCAUACAUGUCUCCCAUAUUACUAUUAUUUUAACACAUUUUACCCUUUAUAUUUCCAUAAGGUGAUGCAACACCUCAUCAUGACACCCGCUCAGAGGAUGGGAAUGAAUACGAAGGAUUGAAUCUGCCAAGAGGACAAGAACACGUUUAUGACCUUUCCGAAAAACAAACGUUGGAAAGUACUUGAAUGAACAACUGUUAAAGAAAAACUAGUACAGAUAACUACUAAGGACGGAUUUAAAUGUCUCAAAGAGAAAGCACAGAUCACGAGGCUAACGUAUGACGACACUAUUCUUGUCUGGCUAUCCCUUAGAAAAUUCAGAAUAUUGAUCAGUUUUUUCAGGUCAUCCAUUAACAAACCAUCUUUAUCAUAUCAAGGUCACAUUUUGUUCCAAGGUCAUCCAUUAAUCCAUCUAAAUCACUUAUCGUUUCAGGGUUACAAUUGUAUCGAGGUCUAAAUAUCUCACCAUGGUUUCCGAAAAUAUAGGGGUCACUAUAUUGCCCCAAUGUCAUCCAAUAUAUCAUUCAUCGCUUCAAGGUAGUUCCUUAUCGUUUAUGCAUAGCCCAUCCGUUAUAUUAAAGUCAAUUAUUGUCCAAGGGUCAUUAAUUGUCCUAAGGUCAUCCAUCAUCUCAAGGUCAUUUCAGGUAAUCCAAUUUAUCAGCCAUUAAUCCUUCCAAGAUCAUCAAUUAAAUUAAUGUCAUUUAUUAUUCUAAGGUUAUCCAUAAUAUCAAGGUGAAUCAAGGUCAUCUGGUAUAUCAAGGUUAUUUGUUGUUCUCAUCAAAUAUAUAAAACUGAAGGCUUUGCUUUGUUUCAACAAUAGAUUCGAUUUUUUUAUUGCAUUUCAAAUACUUAAAAACAAAAUUAAAAACACCGAAAAAUUAAUAGUAUCAAAAAGUGCGGUAAUCAGUAAUGACGUCAUGUCCUUGUGACGUUACUCCACGUCAACUUGACGCGCCAUUUUGAAAAGACUAAUUAGCGUAAUUUAAGAGUUCUCUGCUAUUAUCGGAGAAUCUGUGAAUAAUUAAAGUCAAAUGAGUAUCUAGUCAACACCUAGUCAGAAUAUUGAUUGGGGAAAUCGGCAAGUUUCAAUGAGGUGAACGAAAGGUUCACUCGGAUGGGUCAAAAACGGAAAACUCAUAUUCUCACUGCAAAAAUUAUGCUUGCACUGCAAAAUAUGAUACUUUCACUGCUCAUCGCUGCAGUGAAAAUAUGUGUUAUUAGUUUGAUAAAUUUCUAUAUUUCACUGGCAAAAAUGCAAUAAAAUUAUCUAAAAUUAUAUCAAUGACAUGUCCCAUGUAAAUAUAUAUAAUUGGUUAAGGUCGAGUAUGGAGGGCAAGAUGUAUAUGUUAUCAUUCACCUAUAUCUCAAUACGUUUGUAUAUUUUACAAUUUCAUGUUGUAAUUCUAAAAAUAAAUUUUCUUAUU
Pecten maximus is the source of this 1859-nucleotide long non-coding RNA. RefSeq lists it as uncharacterized. The record is from RefSeq and is a predicted model, not a curated record. NCBI's taxonomy places the organism in Eukaryota, Metazoa, Mollusca, Bivalvia, Pectinida, Pectinidae. The transcript has 3 exons.